UGCAGUCGAGCGAACUGAUUAGAAGCUUGCUUCUAUGACGUUAGCGGCGGACGGGUGAGUAACACGUGGGCAACCUGCCUGUAAGACUGGGAUAACUUCGGGAAACCGAAGCUAAUACCGGAUAGGAUCUUCUCCUUCAUGGGAGAUGAUUGAAAGAUGGUUUCGGCUAUCACUUACAGAUGGGCCCGCGGUGCAUUAGCUAGUUGGUGAGGUAACGGCUCACCAAGGCAACGAUGCAUAGCCGACCUGAGAGGGUGAUCGGCCACACUGGGACUGAGACACGGCCCAGACUCCUACGGGAGGCAGCAGUAGGGAAUCUUCCGCAAUGGACGAAAGUCUGACGGAGCAACGCCGCGUGAGUGAUGAAGGCUUUCGGGUCGUAAAACUCUGUUGUUAGGGAAGAACAAGUACGAGAGUAACUGCUCGUACCUUGACGGUACCUAACCAGAAAGCCACGGCUAACUACGUGCCAGCAGCCGCGGUAAUACGUAGGUGGCAAGCGUUAUCCGGAAUUAUUGGGCGUAAAGCGCGCGCAGGCGGUUUCUUAAGUCUGAUGUGAAAGCCCACGGCUCAACCGUGGAGGGUCAUUGGAAACUGGGGAACUUGAGUGCAGAAGAGAAAAGCGGAAUUCCACGUGUAGCGGUGAAAUGCGUAGAGAUG
RNAcentral lists this ribosomal RNA (660 nucleotides) under Bacillus sp. JSM 082108. RNAcentral's name for it is "bacterial SSU rRNA". It matches the Rfam family "Bacterial small subunit ribosomal RNA", at positions 56 to 698 of the family's 1533-position model. Lineage: Bacteria; Bacillati; Bacillota; Bacilli; Caryophanales; Bacillaceae. The record is from RNAcentral.